GGGGGGGGGUGCAAGCGUUAUCGGGAAUUAUUGGGCGUAAAGGCGCGCAGGCGGGUCUCUUAAGUCAGAUGGUGAAAGCCCGGGGGCUCAAACCCCGGAAGUGCAUUUGAAACUAAGGGACUUGAGUAUGGGAGAGGGAAGUGGAAUUCCUGGUGUAGAGGUGAAAUUCGUAGAUAUCAGGAGGAACACCGGUGGCGAAGGCGACUUCCUGGACCAAUACUGACGCUGAGGCGCGAAGGCGUGGGGAGCAAACAGGAUUAGAUACCCUGGUAGUCCACGCAGUAAACGGUGAACACUAGGUGUAGCGGGUAUUUUACCCCUGCUGUGCCGCAGCUAACGCAUUAAGUGUUCCGCCCGGGGAGUACGGUCGCAAAGAUUAA
This 380-nucleotide ribosomal RNA is filed under the name uncultured organism. RNAcentral's name for it is "partial 16S ribosomal RNA". It matches the Rfam family "Bacterial small subunit ribosomal RNA", at positions 524 to 897 of the family's 1533-position model. The record is from RNAcentral.